AAACAAGAUUUAUCAUGAGAAGUCAGCAGAUGUCAUAGUACCAGUUUAGUCAUGAAUAAACUGGGAAGGAC
RNAcentral lists this non-coding RNA (71 nucleotides) under Clostridium amylolyticum. The record is from RNAcentral. Lineage: Bacteria; Bacillati; Bacillota; Clostridia; Eubacteriales; Clostridiaceae.